GGGCAGCGGGGGAGCAGCAAUGCUCCCGCCGGCGACCGGCGCACGGGUGAGUAACACGUAUGGAACCUGCCCGCAGCAGGGGGAUAAGCGGAAGAAAUUCCGUCUAAUACCGCGUAACACCGCGGAGGGGCAUCCCUCGGCGGUUAAAGAUUCAUCGGCUGCGGAUGGCCAUGCGGCGCAUUAGCUAGUCGGCGGGGUAACGGCCCACCGAGGCGACGAUGCGUAGGGGUUCUGAGAGGAAGGUCCCCCACACUGGUACUGAGACACGGACCAGACUCCUACGGGAGGCAGCAGUGAGGAAUAUUGGUCAAUGGCCGGGAGGCUGAACCAGCCAAGUCGCGUGAGGGAAGACGGCCCUACGGGUUGUAAACCUCUUUUGUCAGGGAGCAAGAGGCGGGUCGGGACCUGCUGUGAGAGUACCUGAAGAAAAAGCAUCGGCUAACUCCGUGCCAGCAGCCGCGGUAAUACGGAGGAUGCGAGCGUUAUCCGGAUUUAUUGGGUUUAAAGGGUGCGCAGGCGGAGGCACAAGUCAGCGGUAAAAUCGCGGGGCUCAACCCCGCGCCGCCGUUGAAACUGUGUCCCUUGAGUGCGCGAAGGGUCCGGCGGAAUGCGUGGUGUAGCGGUGAAAUGC
RNAcentral lists this ribosomal RNA (631 nucleotides) under uncultured bacterium. RNAcentral's name for it is "bacterial SSU rRNA". It matches the Rfam family "Bacterial small subunit ribosomal RNA", at positions 67 to 689 of the family's 1533-position model. The record is from RNAcentral.